CAGCCUGGGCAACAAGAAUGAAGCUUCGUCUCAAGAGACUCAGCUUUUUCAUAUGUAAACAGGGAAACAGGGCUAAUAAUUAGUCCUUGGCAUAACUGUUGUUAAGAUACAGUAUGUGAAUUCACUAAAUAGAAGGUAAUUAUACUUAGUUCACUAAAUGGAAGGUAAUUAUACUUCUUAUUGAUGUCAUAACAACUGGUCAGGCAAAGAAGGGAGUACUGGGAAGUGGGGGCCUGGUCAGGAAAGUCUUCAUCAAUGGGGAGACAUUCCAGCUGGGUUUUGAAGGAUGCGUAGGAGUUUCUAAUCAAAGGGGGAAGGGCAUUCUAGAUGGGGGAAAUGUGUGUACAAAGGCAUGGUGGUAAGAAGUGCUCUAGUGCAUUUGGAGAGCUGUAAAUAGUUCGGUAAAUAGUUCAGCAGGUGUAGCCGAAACUGGUCAGGUGAGCUUGAUCAGAAUCUCUGAGAGUAGGUUACAGGAAUCUGUGUUUGGUAAGAAGAUUCCCAGGAGAUUCUGAGGCUGACUUCCCACAGGCCUAAAGUCUGGAAACCCAUUGCUGUACCUGACAUUCUGCACAAUUCUCUCUAAUCUGAAUCACAACCCAGCAAGAUAGAAGUAAUUUGUCCUUAUUUUACACAGCAGAAAGCCAAGACUCAGAGAGGUAAAGCGACUUGCCCAGGAUCACACAGCUAAGGUGAGCAAGAUUCAAUCCCUGGCCAGCUUGACUUCAAACCCCAUCCGCACGAGUUGCAAAUGGACUGCUGGGGCCGUCUGAGAACGCUGUGAUCCUGGGGACUUCACUUAGCGCCCCAUCGCCUGAUCUCCCUCAGAUUCAUCUUUCCCUCUGAGUGCUGGUGGCCAAGCAGGCGCUGAAAUCCCCAAGAGUCCAGGAGGUGGCGCUGCCAGGUGGGCAGGAUGGUGGCCUCACCUGACGCAGUGCACACCUCCAGCAGGUAUCAGAUGGACUGCAGCUGGGAGCAAGAUUCUCAUAGCAAUGACAAAGAUUCACGACACCCUCCACCACGUAGCUGUAUGUGUGUGUCCUCAGAUUUCAUACAGGGCGACUGUGGUUUUCCCCUGAAAGCAGCAGCACUGAUCCCUGCACAGGAGGUGAAGGGGGGCGCUGCGGGAAGGGCUUUGAAACAGAGAGGGGAGCCUGGCUCCUGCCCUGGCCCAGCUGGGGAGCCUGAGGGUGGGACUGUGACUGGGCAGCCUUAAGAAGUGUGGUCAGCGUGCCAUGCUCGUUUCCCAGGGUACUCAAUGUUGUGGGUCCAGUUGAGAUGGAGAGGAGCCAGGAAGACAGGCCAGGCCAGCUCUUUGCCUGGUGGCUGGGGAUUUCUGGCCGUGAGCUUGGGGGACUUUGCAGAGCUGGAGUGGGAGGGACCUUUCCUAACAGCGACACCCUGUGGUGUUGGCCGCUGCAACUGACACUCAGGUGACUUGUCUGGUUGUCUCCUCGAGGUGCUGUGACCAGGGCUUGACCUUUGGACUGAGAGAGCAUCCGCUGGGCCGGGGGUCUUGGAGUUAUUUGGAAGGAGGACCCUGAGAUUUCUUUGAGAGAUUACCUAAUCCAAGAAGCAAGAGAACAUGACCUCGCUUUAUGCUCCAAGCAGCUGACCUUGGAAUCUGGUUAUAAAUGCAUCUGUGCCUUUCUUGGACAAAGUUUUUGCUUCUCUCUCUCUCUCUCUCUCUCUCUCUGUGUGUGUGUGUGUGUGUGUGUGUGUGUGUGUGUGUGUGUCCGCUGGCCCAGGUGAGUGUUCCAUCCUCAGGUCCCUGAAGCAUAUCCCAGCAGGGCAGGCUUGGUUCCAAAGGCCACGUGGGCUGCGUAAUGACUGACUGGCCCUGUGCAGCCUGUGGAGCGAGGGCGGAGACAUGGCCAAGCUCAGCUGAGCACACCUGGCCUGAGAGCCUGAGGGCCCAGGUGUUCCCUGAGAGUCGAGGGCAGAUGUAGGGGGGAGUCAGGCUUUUUUAAUCAUAGAAGCAACUGCCCGCCUGCCACAGUCAAUGCUAAGCUCCUCAAACAUCUUGCAAGCUGCUUGCUCAGGCCUCUGACUCAGGAUUGAACCGCAUGUGGCACAAUCCUGCUACAAAGAUGCCCACAUCCUGGCUGUUCCGGAACAUUCCUCAGCCUCACUGGGUGUGAUUAUUAAAGGUGCAGUAUGGACAGCGGCUUGUCCUUUCCACUGAAAGAAGGAACAGGUGUCAGGACUGGAGGGGGCUCGCUGGAGGCAGGUGCUUUUCGGUUACCUGGGUUUCCUGCACCUCUCUUCUUGCAGCAUUUGCCUCUGGACGCGUGGCCUUGAGCCUGACCCCUGGAGUUUAUCCCAGUGCUUGGUGACGAGACCCCACCUACUGCAUAGGAGGACAGGCAGAGGGUCAGCCAGAGCCUGGGAUGUGGAAGCGCCACCUCGCUUUGCAGGCUGUGUGUCCUCAGGAAGAAAGCCUGAAGUGCGCCAACACACCUGGACAGACUUGUCACGAACCACUGUCUGCUCUUCAGGCCCUACAGACUUUGUCCCAGGCCAUUGUAUGUUCUUCAAAUCCUGUAUUCCAGGGUUCUCCAGCCCCUGGACCAUGGACUGGUACUGGUCCAUGGCUUGUCAGGAACCAGGCCGGACAGCAGGAGGACCGUCUAGUUGCAAGAAAACAAGCUCAGGGCUCCUACAUGAUGUGCUUGGCAGUCAGUAAAUGGGCUCUGGAGUAAGAAAAAGACAAGAUGUGAAGACCUGGGAGAAAAAUCAGACCAUCGGACGAUAGAAACAGACCCACGGGGAUCCUGAUCAGGGAAUUAUCCAUGAUGAGGUGGAGUCUCAAGGAAUGAAAAGGCAAGAUUAAGAAAUUUUGGCAGAGAACUGGAAAGUAUAAACAAGAACCAAGUGGAAAUUCUGUGAAAAGUGAAAGCUUCUUCUCAGAGCCAGGACAAUGAGGACAGGCUGAGGGGUGUCAGGCCAUAGCCUUGUCUCCCAUGGGCCAGGCAGAGCAUCCCAGAACACCCUCCUUCACAAUGAGCACCGUCCUUCAUGAACAAUUUACUGAUUAACAACUUCGGACCCCAGGAGGUUACACGGUGCCCAAGUCCUUCCAGAGGCCACAACAAUAAAUCCACGCCACUGCUAAUGUUAUUUAUAAGCUGGGGGAUUAAAACGGAAAAAAAUCAAUUAGUUAAAAUGAGCCCUUUAUCGAGACUAUAAGCAUCUUACUUUCCCAGAACCGAGACCAAAUAAGUGACCAAUUCUUCUCUAAGAGAAUGAAAGGGUUUGCCAUUUUUACUGAAAUAAAAGGUUUUCACU
Cercocebus atys (sooty mangabey) is the source of this 3285-nucleotide long non-coding RNA. RefSeq lists it as uncharacterized. The record is from RefSeq and is a predicted model, not a curated record. The transcript has 7 exons. Lineage: Eukaryota; Metazoa; Chordata; Mammalia; Primates; Cercopithecidae.